This 171-nucleotide non-coding RNA is filed under the name Paramesorhizobium deserti. RNAcentral's name for it is "Burkholderia RNA 14". It matches the Rfam family "Burkholderia RNA 14". From Rfam's summary of the family: Co-purified with Hfq, expression confirmed by Northern blot. Putative functional homologue of PA-SraF. Overlaps coding sequence. Lineage: Bacteria; Pseudomonadati; Pseudomonadota; Alphaproteobacteria; Hyphomicrobiales; Phyllobacteriaceae. The record is from Rfam by way of RNAcentral.
GACGGCUCUCGAGAUCAAGCCGCAUGAGGUGGGAUUGACCUAUGAUUAUGCCGCGCGCGUCUCUGCCUUUCGCGAGGUGCAGGUGCGUGCGCGGGUAGGCGGCAUCCUGCUGCGCCGCAAUUUCACCGAAGGGGCCGAGGUCAAGGCCGGCGAUCUCCUGUUCGAGAUCGA